GCAUAAAAAAAUGAAAUAUCAUCUUAAAGAAAAUUUUUGUGUUUCGUAACUGUGGGGAAAAAAAUGCAACAAUUUAUUUUAACCUUACAUUUCAUUAACCUUAUAUUUAAAAGGAAAAAAAAGUAAAACUUGCUUAAAAAAAUAAUUGUGGACUAGUAAAAUUUAUAUGUGGCAUUCUUGGUUAAGUAGCUUGGUAUAAUGAUGAAUGUGUCCAAUAAAUACACAUAGAGACAGUGAGACAGACAUAACGAGAACUCUAUAUCUAUCUAUAAAUCUGUGUGUGUGUGUGUGUAUAUAUAUACAUAUAUACACAGUCAUUUACAAAGCAUUAACUGUAUAUAGAUAAACACACACACACACAUAUAAAGAGCAUUAACAAAAUUUAGCAAACACAUUUUGUACUUCCUCUUUUUCCCUUGAAUAAUCCUAUAAUAUUGUACAGUUUUGAGGACUAUAUUGGUUCUCAAUAAAUAAAAAAUAUUUCUUGCACAUACAAUGAAAUAGUGUGGGCUUGCACAGCCCAGCGUACAGAUGUGAACAGAUGGAAAAAUGCAGGUAGUGCACUGUACUGGUUGUCCUUGAUCAUCAUCCAUGCAGCUCUGUUUGUGAAGAUCAGGAUCUACUCCAGCCACAGAUGUCCAGGCACAAUUCUUGGCUUGUGAUCUCUAUUGGAACAAGAAUUGCGUUUGGACAAUCAGAGGCGAGAGCUCCG
Non-coding RNA from Pelobates cultripes (western spadefoot toad), 712 nucleotides. NCBI's taxonomy places the organism in Eukaryota, Metazoa, Chordata, Amphibia, Anura, Pelobatidae. The record is from the annotation of a GenBank genome assembly.